RNAcentral lists this transfer RNA (69 nucleotides) under Ictidomys tridecemlineatus (thirteen-lined ground squirrel). Its description in RNAcentral is "Spermophilus tridecemlineatus (thirteen-lined ground squirrel) tRNA". It matches the Rfam family "tRNA". From Rfam's summary of the family: Transfer RNA (tRNA) molecules are approximately 80 nucleotides in length. The record is from Rfam by way of RNAcentral. Lineage: Eukaryota; Metazoa; Chordata; Mammalia; Rodentia; Sciuridae.
GGGGUUGUAGAUCAGUGGUAGAGCGCUUGCCUAGCACGCAUGAGGUACUGGGUUCAAUCCUCAGCACCA